GAUUAACGCUGGCGGCGUGCAUAACACAUGCAAGUCGAACGAUGAAACUCAUUAGAUUUCUUCGGAACGAAAAUGAAUGGAUUAGUGGCGAACGGGUGAGUAACGCGUGAGUAACCUGCCUUACACAAGGGGAUAGCCUCUGGAAACGGAGAAUAAUACCCUAUGAAACCAGACAAUCGCAUGAUAAUCUGGUCAAAAUGUUUAGUGGUGUAAGAUGGACUUGCGUCUGAUUAGCUAGUUGGUGAGAUAAAAGCUCACCAAGGCAACGAUCAGUAGCCGGCUUGAGAGAGUGUACGGCCACAUUGGGACUGAGACACGGCCCAGACUCCUACGGGAGGCAGCAGUGGGGAAUUUUGCACAAUGGGGGAAACCCUGAUGCAGCGACGCCGCGUGAUUUAGAAGGCCUUCGGGUUGUAAAAAUCUUUUGUAUAGGAAGAAAAUGACAGUACUAUACGAAUAAGGUCCGGCUAAUUACGUG
RNAcentral lists this ribosomal RNA (478 nucleotides) under uncultured bacterium. RNAcentral describes it as "partial 16S ribosomal RNA". It matches the Rfam family "Bacterial small subunit ribosomal RNA", at positions 28 to 507 of the family's 1533-position model. The record is from RNAcentral.